RNAcentral lists this ribosomal RNA (490 nucleotides) under uncultured bacterium. Its description in RNAcentral is "partial 16S ribosomal RNA". It matches the Rfam family "Bacterial small subunit ribosomal RNA", at positions 30 to 507 of the family's 1533-position model. The record is from RNAcentral.
AUUGAACGCUGGCGGCAGGCCUAACACAUGCAAGUCGAACGGUAACAGGAAACAGCUUGCUGUUUCGCUGACGAGUGGCGGACGGGUGAGUAAUGUCUGGGAAACUGCCUGAUGGAGGGGGAUAACUACUGGAAACGGUAGCUAAUACCGCAUAACGUCGCAAGACCAAAGAGGGGGACCCUCGGGCCUCUUGCCAUCGCAUGUGCCCAGAUGGGAUUAGCUUGUUGGUGGGGUAACGGCUCACCAAGGCGACGAUCCCUAGCUGGUCUGAGAGGAUGACCAGCCACACUGGAACUGAGACACGGUCCAGACUCCUACGGGAGGCAGCAGUGGGGAAUAUUGGACAAUGGGCGCAAGCCUGAUGCAGCCAUGCCGCGUGUAUGAAGAAGGCCUUCGGGUUGUAAAGUACUUUCAGCGGGGAGGAAGGGAGUAAAGUUAAUACCUUGGCUCAUUGACGUUACCAGCAGAAGAAGCACCGGCUAACUCCGUG